GGAGGGCAAGUCUGGUGCCAGCAGCCGCGGUAAUUCCAGCUCCAAUAGCGUAUAUUGAAGUUGUUGCAGUUAAAAAGCUCGUAGUUGAACCUUGGCUCUGGCUGGCCGGUCCGCCUCACCGCGAGUACUGGUCCGGCUGGAGCUUUCCUUCUGGGGAACCUCAUGGCCUUCACUGGCUGUGGGGGGAACCAGGGCUUUUACUGUGAAAAAAUUAGAGUGUUCAAAGCAGGCCUUUGCUCGGAUACAUUAGCAUGGAAUAAUAGAAUAGGACGUGCGGUUCUAUUUUGUUGGUUUCUAGGACCGCCGUAAUGAUUAAUAGGGAUAGUCGGGGGCGUCAGUAUUCAGCUGUCAGAGGUGAAAUUCUUGGAUUUGCUGAAGACUAACUACUGCGAAAGCAUUCGCCAAGGAUGUUUUCAUUAAUCAGGGAACGAAAGUUAGGGGAUCGAAGACGAUCAGAUACCGUCGUAGUCUUAACCAUAAACUAUGCCGACUAGGGAUCGGGCGGGGUUUCUAUGAUGACCCGCUCGGCACCUUACGAGAAAUCAAAGUUUUUGGGUUCUGGGGGGAGUAUGGUCGCAAGGCUGAAACUUAAAGAAUUGACGGAAGGGC
Molecule: ribosomal RNA, 609 nt
Filed under: uncultured fungus
Lineage: Eukaryota; Fungi
Description: SSU rRNA
Rfam family: Eukaryotic small subunit ribosomal RNA
Source: RNAcentral